AACGAACGCUGGCGGCAGGCUUAACACAUGCAAGUCGAACGCAUCCUUCGGGGUGAGUGGCAGACGGGUGAGUAACGCGUGGGAACAUGCCCUUCAGUUCGGAAUAACCCAGGGAAACUUGGGCUAAUACCGGAUACGUGCGAGAGCAGAAAGAUUUAUCGCUGAAGGAGUGGCCCGCGUCUGAUUAGCUAGUUGGUGAGGUAAAGGCUCACCAAGGCGACGAUCAGUAGCUGGUCUGAGAGGAUGAUCAGCCACACUGGGACUGAGACACGGCCCAGACACCGACGGGAGGAGGCAGUGGGGAAUUUUGGACAAUGGGGGCAAGCCUGAUCCAUCCAUGCCGCGUGAGUGAUGAAGGCCUUAGGGUUGUAAAGCUCUUUCGGCGGGGACGAUAAUGACGGUACCCGCAGAAGAAGCCCCGGCUAACUUCGUGCCAGCCGCCGCAGUAA
This 449-nucleotide ribosomal RNA is filed under the name uncultured bacterium. Its description in RNAcentral is "partial 16S ribosomal RNA". It matches the Rfam family "Bacterial small subunit ribosomal RNA", at positions 29 to 523 of the family's 1533-position model. The record is from RNAcentral.